UAACGGGAGGCAGCAGUAGGGAAUCUUCCACAAUGGACGCAAGUCUGAUGGAGCAACGCCGCGUGAGUGAAGAAGGUUUUCGGAUCGUAAAGCUCUGUUGUUGGUGAAGAAGGACAUGGGUAGUAACUGAUCUAUGUUUGACGGUAAUCAACCAGAAAGUCACGGCUAACUACGUGCCAGCAGCCGCGGUAAUACGUAGGUGGCAAGCGUUGUCCGGAUUUAUUGGGCGUAAAGCGAACGCAGGCGGGAGAACAAGUCAGCUGUGAAAGCCCUCGGCUUAACCGAGGAACGGCAACUGAAACUGUUUUUCUUGAGUGCAGAAGAGGAGAGUGGAACUCCAUGUGUAGCGGUGAAAUGCGUAGAUAUAUGGAAGAACACCAGUGGCGAAGGCGGCUCUCUGGUCUGUAACUGACGCUGAGGUUCGAAAGCAUGGGUAGCGAACAGGAUUAGAUACCCUGGUAGUCCAUGCCGUAAACGAUGAGUGCUAAGUGUUGGGAGGUUUCCGCCUCUCAGUGCUGCAGCUAACGCAUUAAGCACUCCGCCUGGGGAGUACGACCGCAAGGUUAAAACUCAAAGGAAUUGACGGGGGCCGNCACAANCGGUG
Molecule: ribosomal RNA, 604 nt
Filed under: Lactobacillus sp.B A97
Lineage: Bacteria; Bacillati; Bacillota; Bacilli; Lactobacillales; Lactobacillaceae
Description: bacterial SSU rRNA
Rfam family: Bacterial small subunit ribosomal RNA
Source: RNAcentral